RNAcentral lists this ribosomal RNA (849 nucleotides) under Agromyces indicus. Its description in RNAcentral is "bacterial SSU rRNA". It matches the Rfam family "Bacterial small subunit ribosomal RNA", at positions 70 to 928 of the family's 1533-position model. The record is from RNAcentral. Lineage: Bacteria; Bacillati; Actinomycetota; Actinomycetes; Micrococcales; Microbacteriaceae.
UCUACACAGCUUGCUGGUGGGGAUUAGUGGCGAACGGGUGAGUAACACGUGAGUAACCUGCCCUGGACUCUGGGAUAACCCCGAGAAAUCGGAGCUAAUACCGGAUAGGACCUUUCCUCGCAUGAGGUUUGGUGGAAAGUUUUUCGGUCUGGGAUGGACUCGCGGCCAAUCAGCUUGUUGGUGAGGUAAUGGCUCACCAAGGCGUCGACGGGUAGCCGGCCUGAGAGGGUGACCGGCCACACUGGGACUGAGACACGGCCCAGACUCCUACGGGAGGCAGCAGUGGGGAAUAUUGCACAAUGGGCGCAAGCCUGAUGCAGCAACGCCGCGUGCGGGAUGACGGCCUUCGGGUUGUAAACCGCUUUUAGUAGGGAAGAAGGGCUUCGGCUUGACGGUACCUGCAGAAAAAGGACCGGCUAACUACGUGCCAGCAGCCGCGGUAAUACGUAGGGUCCGAGCGUUGUCCGGAAUUAUUGGGCGUAAAGAGCUCGUAGGCGGUUUGUCGCGUCUGCUGUGAAAACUAGAGGCUCAACCUCUAGCCUGCAGUGGGUACGGGCAGACUUGAGUGGUGUAGGGGAGACUGGAAUUCCUGGUGUAGCGGUGGAAUGCGCAGAUAUCAGGAGGAACACCGAUGGCGAAGGCAGGUCUCUGGGCACUUACUGACGCUGAGGAGCGAAAGCGUGGGGAGCGAACAGGAUUAGAUACCCUGGUAGUCCACGCCGUAAACGUUGGGCGCUAGAUGUGGGGACCUUUCCACGGUUUCCGUGUCGUAGCUAACGCAUUAAGCGCCCCGCCUGGGGAGUACGGCCGCAAGGCUAAACUCAAAGGAAUUGACGGGGGCCCGCACAA